AGAGUUUGAUUCUGGCUCAGGAUGAACGCUGGCGGCGUGCCUAAUACAUGCAAGUCGAACGGGGGUGCUUGCACCCUAGUGGCGAACGGGUGAGUAACACGUAGGUAACCUGCCCUUAAGCUUGGGAUACCCAGAGGAAACUUUGGCUAAUACCGGAUAACAACAGAAGAGGCAUCUCUUCAGUUUGAAAGGCCCUUUACGGGGUCACUUAAGGAUGGACCUGCGGCGCAUUAGCUAGUUGGUGAGAUAACAGCCCACCAAGGCGAGGAUGCGUAGCCGACCUGAGAGGGUGAUCGGCCACAUUGGAACUGAGACACGGUCCAAACUCCUACGGGAGGCAGCAGUAAGGAGUUUUCGGCAAUGGGGGAAACCCUGACCGAGCAACGCCGCGUGAGUGAUGACGGCCCUAUGGGUUGUAAAAGCUCUGUUGUAAGGGACGAAUGACUAGCUUAGGAAAUGAAGUUAGUUUGACGGUACCUUACCAGAAAGCCACGGCUAACUACGUGCCAGCCGCUGC
This 517-nucleotide ribosomal RNA is filed under the name uncultured bacterium. Its description in RNAcentral is "bacterial SSU rRNA". It matches the Rfam family "Bacterial small subunit ribosomal RNA", at positions 8 to 518 of the family's 1533-position model. The record is from RNAcentral.